Molecule: transfer RNA, 72 nt
Filed under: Heterocephalus glaber (naked mole-rat)
Lineage: Eukaryota; Metazoa; Chordata; Mammalia; Rodentia; Bathyergidae
Rfam family: tRNA
About the family: Transfer RNA (tRNA) molecules are approximately 80 nucleotides in length. Their secondary structure includes four short double-helical elements and three loops (D, anti-codon, and T loops).
Source: Rfam by way of RNAcentral
UGGGAUGUAGCUCAGUGGUAGGGCACUUGCCUAGCAUGCACAAAGCCUUGGGUUCAAUCUCCAACACCACAA